This 75-nucleotide small nuclear RNA is filed under the name Octodon degus (degu). Lineage: Eukaryota; Metazoa; Chordata; Mammalia; Rodentia; Octodontidae. The record is from RNAcentral.
GUGCUCCCUUCGGCAGCACAUAUACUAAAAUUCGAACGAUACAGAGAAGAUUAGCAUGGCCCCUGUGUAAAAAUG